GCAGUUCGAGCGGUAGCACAGAGAGCUUGCUCUCGGGUGACGAGCGGCGGACGGGUGAGUAAUGUCUGGGAAACUGCCUGAUGGAGGGGGAUAACUACUGGAAACGGUAGCUAAUACCGCAUAACGUCGCAAGACCAAAGUGGGGGACCUUCGGGCCUCAUGCCAUCAGAUGUGCCCAGAUGGGAUUAGCUAGUAGGUGGGGUAACGGCUCACCUAGGCGACGAUCCCUAGCUGGUCUGAGAGGAUGACCAGCCACACUGGAACUGAGACACGGUCCAGACUCCUACGGGAGGCAGCAGUGGGGAAUAUUGCACAAUGGGCGCAAGCCUGAUGCAGCCAUGCCGCGUGUGUGAAGAAGGCCUUCGGGUUGUAAAGCACUUUCAGCGGGGAGGAAGGCGAUAAGGUUAAUAACCUUGUCGAUUGACGUUACCCGCAGAAGAAGCACCGGCUAACUCCGUGCCAGCAGCCGCGGUAAUACGGAGGGUGCAAGCGUUAAUCGGAAUUACUGGGCGUAAAGCGCACGCAGGCGGUCUGUCAAGUCGGAUGUGAAAUCCCCGGGCUCAACCUGGGAACUGCAUUCGAAACUGGCAGGCUAGAGUCUUGUAGAGGGGGGUAGAAUUCCAGGUGUAGCGGUAAAAUGCGUAGAGAUCUGGAGGAAUACCGGUGGCGAAGGCCGCCCCCUGGACAAAGACCCACACUUUUGUGCCAAAACAUCGGGGAUCAUACAUGGGGGGAGCCCCCGGCGCUCCCCGUCCUCCACAAUAUCUAUAUGUAAAUCGA
Molecule: ribosomal RNA, 780 nt
Filed under: Klebsiella pneumoniae
Lineage: Bacteria; Pseudomonadati; Pseudomonadota; Gammaproteobacteria; Enterobacterales; Enterobacteriaceae
Description: bacterial SSU rRNA
Rfam family: Bacterial small subunit ribosomal RNA
Source: RNAcentral